CAGUCGCCGCGGUAAUACGUAGGUGGCAAGCGUUGUCCGGAAUUAUUGGGCGUAAAGGGCUCGCAGGCGGUUUCUUAAGUCUGAUGUGAAAGCCCCCGGCUCAACCGGGGAGGGUCAUUGGAAACUGGGAAACUUGGGUGCAGAAGAGGAGAGUGGAAUUCCACGUGUAGCGGUGAAAUGCGUAGAGAUGUGGAGGAACACCAGUGGCGAAGGCGACUCUCUGGUCUGUAACUGACGCUGAGGAGCGAAAGCGUGGGGAGCAAACAGGAUUAGAGACCCCUGUAGUCCCUGUCUCUUAUAA
This 301-nucleotide ribosomal RNA is filed under the name uncultured bacterium. Its description in RNAcentral is "partial 16S ribosomal RNA". It matches the Rfam family "Bacterial small subunit ribosomal RNA", at positions 509 to 809 of the family's 1533-position model. The record is from RNAcentral.